This is a long non-coding RNA of Cyprinus carpio (common carp), 1172 nucleotides long. The record is from Ensembl. NCBI's taxonomy places the organism in Eukaryota, Metazoa, Chordata, Actinopteri, Cypriniformes, Cyprinidae.
AGCUUGCUCAGUUGUGUUUGAUUAGGGUUGGAGCUAAACUCUGCAAAACAGUGGCCCUCCAGACAACCCUCUACAUUGCGAGUAAAUCACUCACAUAUGCGACUAAAUUUUCAUUCUGGCAACUAAAUGAUGCCUAAUAUUAGCCAACGGCUAAUAAAUCCUCAGAUUUUACUCGCCAGUGUGUUAGUUGGAGGCUAAGUGUAAGUUUAGCACAGAUAUAUUUUAACUUGCGAACACUCUCUGACUGAGUGCUUCAGAGUUUCACUCUUCUUUAAGCAAUCUGUUAUAUUUUUCAGUUCAUCUCAAUGGAUGCGCAGUGCACCUAUAUUUGACGUACCGUAAACUCUAGUGUGAAGGCGCAUGACUCGUCGCCGGUUUCUCUCACACAUGCAGAAAGAGAGACACAAUUGACGUACUACAUGUAAACAAUAUUCUAUGUUGUAGUUUCCUAGUGUUGUAGAGUUCCUUUGGAUUUUUUCAGCUUUUAAGAACUGUUGGGUUUUCCGGUAGUGGGCAGGACUAAUGCACAAACUGCAAUCUCAUUGGCUGGCGCUCUAGUAUCAUUGUCCCUGUUUUGAUUUCAGUGAAUCAGAUCAGGCAAAUGCGCACAACCUGAUUAAUAUUCAUGAAUCCAGCAGCUCUUUAAUCCUUAAUGCAUUUCAUAUUGUUCUUAUCUUAGUCCGGCAAGUAAACUAAGAAAUUUACUAGCCAAUGGCGAUUCAAUUGCCAAGGUGUCCAUAGAGGGUUGCCAGAGUAAGAUUUGAGGAACCCUGGUGUACACUGUUCUUAUUUUAAUAACAACCAUGAUAUACCAAUACCAGUCAAAGGUGUUUGGGAAUUUUAGAUAAUUUCCCUAUAUAAGAACAUCCUCAUAACAUCUGAAAAACAAAACGGCUACUGUUACAAAAUAGGGUUGUUUUGUCAACACUAUCAGAUUUUCUGACUGUGGUGACAAUGUAUUUGAUAGAGCUGAAAUUUUAAUGAAGAUAAUGCUAGAUUUGCUAAUAUCUCUAAUAAAAAUUUAACACAAUAUUUUAAUAUCCAACAGUGUCUCAUAAGUGACAGAAAUGGAAAAACACGUCUUGAGAGAAACAGGAGAUUGAACCCAAACAUAGUCAGGGGACAUGAGGCCAUUAACCUCCUGCAGCCAACGCCUUCUAUCCUUAAUGAGG